Molecule: ribosomal RNA, 468 nt
Filed under: uncultured bacterium
Lineage: Bacteria
Description: partial 16S ribosomal RNA
Rfam family: Bacterial small subunit ribosomal RNA
Source: RNAcentral
GACGAACGCUGGCGGCGUGCUUAACACAUGCAAGUCGAACGGAAAGGCCCUGCUUUUGUGGGGUGCUCGAGUGGCGAACGGGUGAGUAACACGUGAGUAACCUGCCCUUGACUUUGGGAUAACUUCAGGAAACUGGGGCUAAUACCGGAUAGGAGCUCCUGCUGCAUGGUGGGGGUUGGAAAGUUUCGGCGGUUGGGGAUGGACUCGCGGCUUAUCAGCUUGUUGGUGGGGUAGUGGCUUACCAAGGCUUUGACGGGUAGCCGGCCUGAGAGGGUGACCGGCCACAUUGGGACUGAGAUACGGCCCAGACUCCUACGGGAGGCAGCAGUGGGGAAUAUUGCACAAUGGGCGGAAGCCUGAUGCAGCAACGCCGCGUGCGGGAUGACGGCCUUCGGGUUGUAAACCGCUUUCGCCUGUGACGAAGCGUGAGUGUCGGUAAUGGGAAAAGAAGCACCGGCUAACUACGUG